Molecule: ribosomal RNA, 481 nt
Filed under: uncultured bacterium
Lineage: Bacteria
Description: bacterial SSU rRNA
Rfam family: Bacterial small subunit ribosomal RNA
Source: RNAcentral
AUUGAACGCUGGCGGAAUGCUUACACAUGCAAGUCGAACGGGUAGAGGGGGGCAACCCCUUGAGAGUGGCGAACGGGUGAGUAAUAUAUCGGAACGUGCCCAGUCGUGGGGGAUAACGUAGCGAAAGCUACGCUAAUACCGCAUACGAUCUAUGGAUGAAAGCGGGGGAUCGCAAGACCUCGCGCGAUUGGAGCGGCCGAUAUCAGAUUAGGUAGUUGGUGAGGUAAAGGCUCACCAAGCCGACGAUCUGUAGCUGGUCUGAGAGGACGACCAGCCACACUGGGACUGAGACACGGCCCAGACUCCUACGGGAGGCAGCAGUGGGGAAUUUUGGACAAUGGGCGCAAGCCUGAUCCAGCAAUGCCGCGUGCAGGAUGAAGGCCUUCGGGUUGUAAACUGCUUUUGUACGGAACGAAACGGUGAGCUCUAAUACAGUUUGCUAAUGACGGUACCGUAAGAAUAAGCACCGGCUAACUACGUG